UACGUAGGGUGCGAGCGUUAAUCGGAAUUACUGGGCGUAAAGUGUGCGCAGGUGGCCGCGCAAGUCGAGUGUGAAAUCCCCGAGCUUAACUUGGGAUUUGCGCUCGAAACUACGUGGCUCGAGUGUGGCAGAGGAAGGUGGAAUUCCACGUGUAGCGGUGAAAUGCGUAGAGAUGUGGAGGAACACCGAUGGCGAAGGCAGCCUUCUGGGCCAACACUGACGCUCAUGCACGAAAGCGUGGGGAGCAAACAGG
This 253-nucleotide ribosomal RNA is filed under the name uncultured bacterium. RNAcentral's name for it is "partial 16S ribosomal RNA". It matches the Rfam family "Bacterial small subunit ribosomal RNA", at positions 524 to 776 of the family's 1533-position model. The record is from RNAcentral.